CAGCCGCCGCGGUAAUACGAAAGGGGCUAGCGUUGUUCGGAUUUACUGGGCGUAAAGCGCACGUAGGCGGACUUUUAAGUCAGGGGUGAAAUCCCGGGGCUCAACCUCGGAACUGCCUUUGAUACUGGAAGUCUUGAGUAUGGUAGAGGUGAGUGGAAUUCCGAGUGUAGAGGUGAAAUUCGUAGAUAUUCGGAGGAACACCAGUGGCGAAGGCGGCUCACUGGACCAUUACUGACGCUGAAGUGCGAAAGCGUGGGGAGCAAACAGGAUUAGAUACCCCUGUAGUCCCUGUCUCUUAUAC
Molecule: ribosomal RNA, 301 nt
Filed under: uncultured bacterium
Lineage: Bacteria
Description: partial 16S ribosomal RNA
Rfam family: Bacterial small subunit ribosomal RNA
Source: RNAcentral